This 369-nucleotide ribosomal RNA is filed under the name uncultured bacterium. RNAcentral describes it as "bacterial SSU rRNA". It matches the Rfam family "Bacterial small subunit ribosomal RNA", at positions 525 to 896 of the family's 1533-position model. The record is from RNAcentral.
ACGGAGGGUGCAAGCGUUAUCCGGAAUCACUGGGUUUAAAGGGUGCGUAGGCGGCGUUAUAAGUCAGAGGUGAAAGGCCACCGCUUAACGGUGGGACUGCCUUUGAUACUGUAGUGCUUGAAUAAGGUUGAGGUUAGCGGAAUGUGACAUGUAGCGGUGAAAUGCAUAGAUAUGUCAUAGAACACCAAUUGCGAAGGCAGCUGGCUAGACCUUUAUUGACGCUGAGGCACGAAAGCGUGGGGAGCGAACAGGAUUAGAUACCCUGGUAGUCCACGCCCUAAACGAUGCUUACUCGAUGUUUGGGUUUCGGCCUGAGCAUCCAAGGGAAACCAUUAAGUAAGCCACCUGGGGAGUACGUUCGCAAGAAUG